RNAcentral lists this transfer RNA (70 nucleotides) under Heterocephalus glaber (naked mole-rat). It matches the Rfam family "tRNA". Rfam says of the family: Transfer RNA (tRNA) molecules are approximately 80 nucleotides in length. Lineage: Eukaryota; Metazoa; Chordata; Mammalia; Rodentia; Bathyergidae. The record is from Rfam by way of RNAcentral.
UGGGGGGUAGCUCAGUGGUGGAGUACUUGCCUAUCAUGUCAAGACCAUGGGUUCAUCCCCUUCUCCCCAA